RNAcentral lists this ribosomal RNA (635 nucleotides) under Arthrobacter sp. Se2Pt_478. RNAcentral describes it as "bacterial SSU rRNA". It matches the Rfam family "Bacterial small subunit ribosomal RNA", at positions 378 to 1022 of the family's 1533-position model. Lineage: Bacteria; Bacillati; Actinomycetota; Actinomycetes; Micrococcales; Micrococcaceae. The record is from RNAcentral.
GCAGCCUGAUGCAGCGACGCCGCGUGAGGGAUGACGGCCUUAGGGUUGUAAACCUCUUUCAGUAGGGAAGAAGCGAAAGUGACGGUACCUGCAGAAGAAGCGCCGGCUAACUACGUGCCAGCAGCCGCGGUAAUACGUAGGGCGCAAGCGUUAUCCGGAAUUAUUGGGCGUAAAGAGCUCGUAGGCGGUUUGUCGCGUCUGCCGUGAAAGUCCGGGGCUCAACUCCGGAUCUGCGGUGGGUACGGGCAGACUAGAGUGAUGUAGGGGAGACUGGAAUUCCUGGUGUAGCGGUGAAAUGCGCAGAUAUCAGGAGGAACACCGAUGGCGAAGGCAGGUCUCUGGGCAUUAACUGACGCUGAGGAGCGAAAGCAUGGGGAGCGAACAGGAUUAGAUACCCUGGUAGUCCAUGCCGUAAACGUUGGGCACUAGGUGUGGGGGACAUUCCACGUUUUCCGCGCCGUAGCUAACGCAUUAAGUGCCCCGCCUGGGGAGUACGGCCGCAAGGCUAAAACUCAAAGGAAUUGACGGGGGCCCGCACAAGCGGCGGAGCAUGCGGAUUAAUUCGAUGCAACGCGAAGAACCUUACCAAGGCUUGACAUGGACUGGAAAUACCUGGAAACAGGUGCCCCGCUUGC